Vicia villosa (hairy vetch) is the source of this 893-nucleotide long non-coding RNA. RefSeq lists it as uncharacterized. The record is from RefSeq and is a predicted model, not a curated record. Lineage: Eukaryota; Viridiplantae; Streptophyta; Magnoliopsida; Fabales; Fabaceae. The transcript is spliced from 3 exons.
UCUUUCUUCUCUCCCUCACGAGUUUUCUGCAGAAAAAAGGAAAAAUAAACGGAACAACAAACAACGUUUCUCUUCUCUUUCGAUUGGAACAACAACAACGUUAAUUCCCACUCUCAGUUUCUCUCUUCUAUGAUAACAACCAUGGAGUUUCGUUCUUAUCAUCAUCUCUCUCGCGAAGUGAACGACAACAACAACGGUUCGGCCUCACUCUUGCUCUUUGUUAAACGCACUCGUCUCUCUCGCCGAAACAACAACAAUCAUGGCAAAAACCUCUCUCUCGGUUUCUCACGGCAGGGCAUGUGGAAGAGUUUUUUUUAGAGGUUCUUCCCAACAAGAACAAACCUUAUUCUGAUUUCACUCACGAACCCAGUUUUUGUUCUAAGCAGAGAACUAUGAUUAUAACAACAAUAAUAUUGAGUAAGAGUUGGAUUGACUUACCUACGGCAAGGAGAUUUUUGCCGGUUUUGAUGUUGAGAACCGUGGUGCAGCUGCUGCAAGUUUGUUGAUGGAAGGUGAUGCAACCUCUCUUCUUGGACUUGCGGGAUAGCCUUUGGAUAUUAGGGAUGCUCGAAGGUUGAGCUUGUUGGAAGUUGAAGACUUGAAGAUGAAGCUUCAAGUUUGUUGAAGGAUGCUAAUAAGUGAGGUAUGAAACACUUACUUCUCUUCUCUUUUUUUUGUAUCUUGUGGAUGAAGUUCUUACUACUUCAACAAGACUUUUUUUAUGUGAAAGAAGCUUUGAAGUGUGAGAACUUUGUGUGUGUUCUCCGAUUUUUUUUUCCUGCUAUAUUUGGUUUGCCUCUCUUCUAUAUAUAGAGGAAGAAAUGAGGGACAUCUUUGGUCAUUUUGGCACCUAAGCUUAGUCCUUAAGCUCACUUAGUUGUUAAGUUGUCAUC